UGCAUCAUCUGCUCUAUCUGUGCCAUCCACUCCAUCAUUUGGAUCUGAAGCCACUGGUACUUAUCGACACAUGCAGUCAACUCAUUAGCUCGCUGCUCAGUCUGCCUCUGCACCUCCGCCAGCCGAGCAUCGCAGGUAGCAUGGAUGUCAGUCCUGGACGAGCAUGAGGAUGAGGGAGCAGUGAUCCCAUGCCCUAGACCCCUAAUAUAACAGGGUUUCGUACCAAGCACCUGAC
This 235-nucleotide long non-coding RNA is filed under the name Elaeis guineensis (African oil palm). RNAcentral describes it as "long non-coding RNA (EGUI_LNC041673)". Lineage: Eukaryota; Viridiplantae; Streptophyta; Magnoliopsida; Arecales; Arecaceae. The record is from RNAcentral.